UGAGGAAUAUUGGUCAAUGGGCGAGAGCCUGGACCAGCCAAGUAGCGUGCAGGAUGACGGCCCUAUGGGUUGUAAACUGCUUUUAUAUGGGAAUAAAGUGAGGGACGUGUCCCUUAUUGCAUGUACCAUACGAAUAAGGACCGGCUAAUUCCGUGCCAGCAGCCGCGGUAAUACGGAAGGUCCAGGCGUUAUCCGGAUUUAUUGGGUUUAAAGGGAGCGUAGGCUGUUUGUUAAGCGUGUUGUGAAAUGUAAGAGCUCAACUUUUAGAUUGCAGCGCGAACUGGCAGACUUGAGUGCGCACAACGUAGGCGGAAUUCAUGGUGUAGCGGUGAAAUGCUUAGAUAUCAUGACGAACUCCGAUUGCGAAGGCAGCUUACGGGAGCGCAACUGACGCUAAAGCUCGAAGGUGCGGGUAUCGAACAGG
RNAcentral lists this ribosomal RNA (424 nucleotides) under Verrucomicrobiota bacterium. Its description in RNAcentral is "Verrucomicrobia bacterium partial 16S ribosomal RNA". It matches the Rfam family "Bacterial small subunit ribosomal RNA", at positions 355 to 776 of the family's 1533-position model. The record is from RNAcentral. Lineage: Bacteria; Pseudomonadati; Verrucomicrobiota.